This 458-nucleotide ribosomal RNA is filed under the name uncultured microorganism. RNAcentral describes it as "bacterial SSU rRNA". It matches the Rfam family "Bacterial small subunit ribosomal RNA", at positions 346 to 794 of the family's 1533-position model. The record is from RNAcentral.
GUGCAGCAGGCGAGAAUAGUCUACAAUGGACGAAAGUCUGAUAGUGCGACGCCGUGUGUGCGAUUAAUUCCUUCGGGAUGUAAAGCACUUUUCUAUGAGAUAAAAGCUCUUUAGGUUAAUAGCUUAUUGAGACGGAUAUUAUUAUAGGAAUAAGCUCCGGCUAACUCCGUGCCAGCAGCCGCGGUAAUACGGAAGGAGCGAGCGUUGUCCGGAUUUACUAGGCGUAAAGGGCUAGUAGGCGACUAAUUAAGUUAUAUGUUAAAUCCCACGGCUCAACUGUGGUCCUGCAUGUAAUACUGGUUAGAUAGAGUACUGUAGAGGAAGGCAGAAUUCCUGGAGUAGCGGUGGAAUGCGCAGAUAUCAGGAAGAAUACCAAAAGCGAAGGCAGCCUUCUGGGCAGUUACUGACGCUGAAUAGCGAAGGUGUGGGUAGCGAACAGGAUUAGAUACCCGUGUAGU